CAGCAGCCACGGGAAUACGUAGGUGGCAAGCGUUGUCCGGAAUUAUUGGGCGUAAAGCGUCUGUAGGUGGCUUUUCAAGUCCGCCGUCAAGUCCCAGGGCUCAACCCUGGACAGGCGGUGGAAACUACCAAGCUGGAGUACGGUAGGGGCAGAGGGAAUUUCCGGUGGAGCGGUGAAAUGCGUUGAUAUUGGGAGGAACACCAGUGGCGAAGGCGGCUUUCUGGACUGUAACUGACGCUGAGGCUCGAAAGCCAGGGGAGCGAACGGGAUUAGAUACCCCAGUAGUCCCUGUCUCUUAUAC
This 301-nucleotide ribosomal RNA is filed under the name uncultured bacterium. RNAcentral describes it as "partial 16S ribosomal RNA". It matches the Rfam family "Bacterial small subunit ribosomal RNA", at positions 509 to 807 of the family's 1533-position model. The record is from RNAcentral.